UAGGGAAUCUUCCGCAAUGGACGAAAGUCUGACGGAGCAACGCCGCGUGAGUGAAGAAGGAUUUCGGUUCGUAAAACUCUGUUGUUAGGGAAGAAAAAAUGUAUAGUAACUAUAUACAAAAGAGACGGUACCUAACCAGAAAGCCACGGCUAACUACGCGCCAGCAGCCGCGGUAAUACGUAGGUGGCAAGCGUUGUUCGGAAUUAUUGGGCGUAAAGCGCGCGCAGGUGGUUUAGAAAGUCUGAUGUGAAAGCCCACGGCUCAACCGUAGGGGGUCAUUGGAAACUAAUAAACUUGAGUGCAGGAGAGAAAAGUGGAAUUCCUAGUGUAGCGGUGAAAUGCGUAGAGAUUAGGAGGAACACCGGUGGCGAAAGCGGCUUUUUGGCCUGCAACUGACACUGAGGCGCGAAAGCGUGGGGAGCAAACAGG
Molecule: ribosomal RNA, 429 nt
Filed under: Verrucomicrobiota bacterium
Lineage: Bacteria; Pseudomonadati; Verrucomicrobiota
Description: Verrucomicrobia bacterium partial 16S ribosomal RNA
Rfam family: Bacterial small subunit ribosomal RNA
Source: RNAcentral